RNAcentral lists this ribosomal RNA (468 nucleotides) under uncultured bacterium. Its description in RNAcentral is "partial 16S ribosomal RNA". It matches the Rfam family "Bacterial small subunit ribosomal RNA", at positions 28 to 507 of the family's 1533-position model. The record is from RNAcentral.
GACGAACGCUGGCGGCGUGCUUAACACAUGCAAGUCGAACGGAAAGGCCCUGCUUUUGUGGGGUGCUCGAGUGGCGAACGGGUGAGUAACACGUGAGUAACCUGCCCUUGACUUUGGGAUAACUUCAGGAAACUGGGGCUAAUACCGGAUAGGAGCUCCUGCUGCAUGGUGGGGGUUGGAAAGUUUCGGCGGUUGGGGAUGGACUCGCGGCUUAUCAGCUUGUUGGUGGGGUAGUGGCUUACCAAGGCUUUGACGGGUAGCCGGCCCGAGAGGGUGACCGGCCACAUUGGGACUGAGAUACGGCCCAGACUCCUACGGGAGGCAGCAGUGGGGAAUAUUGCACAAUGGGCGGAAGCCUGAUGCAGCAACGCCGCGUGCGGGAUGACGGCCUUCGGGUUGUAAACCGCUUUCGCCUGUUACGAAGCGUGAGUGACGGUAAUGGGUAAAGAAGCACCGGCUAACUACGUG